This 413-nucleotide ribosomal RNA is filed under the name Uncinaria lucasi. Its description in RNAcentral is "partial 12S ribosomal RNA". The record is from RNAcentral. Lineage: Eukaryota; Metazoa; Nematoda; Chromadorea; Rhabditida; Ancylostomatidae.
UGUUUGAAAUUUUUAUAUAAUUAUAGGUUAAAUUUUAAUUAUUUAAAAUGUGUAGUUAUAAUUUUAAAUUUUGUUAAUCGAAUUAGAUUAGUACCUAAUUAGUCAAAAGUUAAAAAAGCAGAAGUAAAGUAAAAUUUAAACUGAAAGAAUAUUGGCAGAUUUUCUAAAUUAUCUUUGGAGGUUGAGUAAUAAUUGAGAACCCUCAUUAACUACUUUUUUAGUUGUCUCAUGUAUGAUCGUUUAUUAUAUGCUUAAGGGAUAUAAUUAAAAAUUUUUAUUUAAAAAAAUAGAUAUAUAUUUGGUUUAUAUAAAAGUAAUAUUUGACCUACAGUAAUUUGUAAUUGUGGAUCUAUUUUUUAGUAAAGUAGUGAAAAUGUAAAAGACAGUAAAAAAAUUUUUAUGAUUUUUUGAAG